GGGCGAAUGGCGGAACUGGUAGACGCGCACGACUCAAAAUCGUGUUUCGUAAGAAGUGAGAGUUCGAUUCUCUCUUCGCCCACCA
RNAcentral lists this transfer RNA (85 nucleotides) under Candidatus Pelagibacter sp. HTCC7211. RNAcentral's name for it is "tRNA-Leu". It matches the Rfam family "tRNA". Rfam says of the family: Transfer RNA (tRNA) molecules are approximately 80 nucleotides in length. Their secondary structure includes four short double-helical elements and three loops (D, anti-codon, and T loops). The record is from RNAcentral. Lineage: Bacteria; Pseudomonadati; Pseudomonadota; Alphaproteobacteria; Candidatus Pelagibacterales; Candidatus Pelagibacteraceae. RNAcentral also lists the same sequence under 6 other names.